CGGCUACCACAUCCAAGGAAGGCAGCAGGCGCGCAAAUUACCCAAUGGCGACACGCCGAGGUAGUGACAAUAAAUAACAAUAUAGGGCUCUUUUGGGUCUUAUAAUUGGAAUGAGUACAAUUUAAAUCCCUUAACGAGGAACAAUUGGAGGGCAAGUCUGGUGCCAGCAGCCGCGGUAAUUCCAGCUCCAAUAGCGUAUAUUAAAGUUGUUGCAGUUAAAAAGCUCGUAGUCGAAAUUCAGACCCGGCCGGGUGGUCCGCCUCACGGUGUGUACUGUCUGGCUGGGCCUUCCCUCUUGGUGAGCCGGCAUGCCCUUCACUGGGUGUGUCGGGGAACCAGGACUUUUACUUUGAGAAAAUUAGAGUGUUCAAAGCAGGCCUACGCCCGAAUACAUUAGCAUGGAAUAAUAGAAUAGGACGUGCGGUUCUAUUUUGUUGGUUUCUAGAGUCGCCGUAAUGAUCAAAUAGGGACAGUUGGGGGCAUUCGUAUUCGGUUGCUAGAGGUGAAAUUCUUGGAUUUACCGAAGACGAACUUCUGCGAAAGCAUUUGCCAAGGAUGUUUUCAUUGAUCAAGAACGAAGGUUAGGGGAUCGAAAACGAUCAGAUACCGUUGUAGUCUUAACAGUAAACUAUGCCGACUAGGGAUCGGGCGAUCUCACUAUCAUGUGUCGCUCGGCACCU
Molecule: ribosomal RNA, 680 nt
Filed under: uncultured fungus
Lineage: Eukaryota; Fungi
Description: SSU rRNA
Rfam family: Eukaryotic small subunit ribosomal RNA
Source: RNAcentral